CAGCUCUCUAUUUUUUUUUUUUAAACCUUCCAAUCCCUAGACCCACCUGCACUCACAUUAGGAUACACUGAUACACUGAAAACAAAAUAGUUUAUUCACUAAACUGUGUACUGCAGUGGAUUGAAAACCAAAUUGUUACAUAUGGCAAAAAUAACCAAACUGUGAUUAGACUUGACUUGGAUUUAUUUCAAAAUCAGCUAUUUUAGCUAAAAUGUUACAAUUUGGUGUUCCCUAUGGUGUAUACUUCAUUCUGUAGAGUUGCAAGAAAAUCAAAUAUAGGAUUUUUAAAAAUCCUGAAAGGGUGUCCAAACCUGACAUUUCACUGGCAGAGAAUUCUGGGAAAUAUAGUCCACCAAUAGUUGGAAGCCAAUGUUGGACAUCCUUGGCACUAUUAAUAUUUCUCAUCAAAAACGAUAUUGUGAAUUUAGGCCCAUAUUCCCUAACUCACCUUCUGCUGCUAUCAUCAGUA
Molecule: non-coding RNA, 469 nt
Organism: Pelobates cultripes (western spadefoot toad)
Lineage: Eukaryota; Metazoa; Chordata; Amphibia; Anura; Pelobatidae
Source: the annotation of a GenBank genome assembly